RNAcentral lists this ribosomal RNA (225 nucleotides) under Triticum aestivum (bread wheat). RNAcentral's name for it is "partial small subunit ribosomal RNA". The record is from RNAcentral. Lineage: Eukaryota; Viridiplantae; Streptophyta; Magnoliopsida; Poales; Poaceae.
AUGUUGUUGUGUUCCAAAUGCAGCUCCUCCAAUCUCUUCAGAUCACCUAUAGACUCUGGAAUAUUGCCGCUGAGCUCAUUCCCGCCAAGAUCAAGGGUGACCAGAUUUGUGAGCUUGCUAAUGCCAUCGAGAGCUCCUUCUAACCUAUUGCUAGGCAACGAGAGGUGCUCUAACGAGGUUACGUUGAAGAGUUCAUCUAGAAGUGUACCAUUGAGGUUGUUGUAG